Molecule: ribosomal RNA, 500 nt
Filed under: uncultured bacterium
Lineage: Bacteria
Description: partial 16S ribosomal RNA
Rfam family: Bacterial small subunit ribosomal RNA
Source: RNAcentral
AUUGAACGCUGGCGGAAUGCUUUACACAUGCAAGUCGAACGGCAGCACGGACUUCGGUCUGGUGGCGAGUGGCGAACGGGUGAGUAAUGUAUCGGAACGUGCCCAGUCGUGGGGGAUAACGUAGUGAAAAUUACGCUAAUACCGCAUACGAUCUAUGGAUGAAAGCGGGGGAUCGCAAGACCUCGCGCGAUUGGAGCGGCCGAUAUCAGAUUAGGUAGUUGGUGGGGUAAAGGCCCACCAAGCCAACGAUCUGUAGCUGGUCUGAGAGGACGACUAGCCACACUGGAACUGAGACCCGGUCCCGACUCCUACGGGAGGCAGCAGUGGGGAAUUUUGGACAAUGGGCGAAAGCCUGAUCCAGCCAUUCCGCGUGCAGGAUGAAGGCCCUCGGGUUGUAAACUGCUUUUGUACAGAACGAAAAGGUUUCUACUAAUACUAGGAGCUCAUGACGGUACUGUAAGAAUAAGCACCGGCUAACUACGUGCCAGCCGCCGCGGUAA